GCCCGGGUCGGGGCCCCAUGUUCAGAGCCCUGCCACCCCAGCUUGAGCGUGGUCUUUGGAGCGUUGCCCUGUGAAAAGGGGUGACUUUGCCAUGCUCCUUCCCAGUCUACCUCCUGUUAGUUACAGUUUCUCAUUCCUCUUGAGUAGCAGGCCCUGUUUCUCCACCUAAUCCCUGCAAGUAAACCGUCCCCCAAAUCAAAAUGAGUUCCAUCUGGAACUUUGUAGGAUUGGUCCUAAGAAGAUCCCGCCGAAUCUCUUCACCACUUCCUAGCAGAGCACAGUAAAACCGGGGACUAAGCAAAGUGGCUGACAUGUAGUAAGUGCUCAAGAAAUGGAUGUUGACUAGAUGCUACCUCUCAUCUUUGCCUGUCUGAACUCUCAAGCACCGGAUGCAAGUAGACUGAGAGCCUCCGCCAACCAGGUCUCGCUCUGUCACCCAGGCUGGAGUGCGCUGGCAUAAUCAUGGUUCACUGCAACCUUGAACUCCUGGGCUUGAGAGAUCUAUAUGAAUUUUAAGGCACAGUCUCACUCUCUUACCCAAUCUGGAGUGCAGUGGUGUGAUCUCGGCUCACUGCAACCUCUGCCUCAUGGGUUCAAGCAAUUCUCCUGCCUCAGCCUCCCAAGUAGCUGGGAUUACAGGCUGGAGUGCAGUGGUGCAAUCUCGGCUCACUACAACCUCCGCCUCCUGGGUUCAAGUGAUUCUUCUGCCUCAGUCUCUUGAAUAGCUGGGAUUACAGGU
Molecule: long non-coding RNA, 739 nt
Organism: Homo sapiens (human)
Lineage: Eukaryota; Metazoa; Chordata; Mammalia; Primates; Hominidae
Source: Ensembl